UUGGCCUCCCAGAGUGCUGGGAUUACAAGCAAAAGACAGAUGAUUUUGACUUGGGAAAAUACUUGAUGGAAGGUGAAGAAAUGGAUGUUGGUCCAGACAUGGACACACCAAUGAGCCAGACGACCGAAGCUGGCUGGAACAUCACGUGGUCCAUCAGUACUAGACAGCCAGGCCCUCCCAGUUUCCUCAUAGCUUACGUUUGCACUGCAGUUUAGCUGCU
Cebus imitator (Panamanian white-faced capuchin) is the source of this 220-nucleotide long non-coding RNA. RefSeq lists it as uncharacterized. The record is from RefSeq and is a predicted model, not a curated record. NCBI's taxonomy places the organism in Eukaryota, Metazoa, Chordata, Mammalia, Primates, Cebidae. The transcript is spliced from 3 exons.